Molecule: ribosomal RNA, 259 nt
Filed under: uncultured bacterium
Lineage: Bacteria
Description: partial 16S ribosomal RNA
Rfam family: Bacterial small subunit ribosomal RNA
Source: RNAcentral
UGCCAGCCGACGCGGUAAUACGAAGGUCCCAAGCGUUGUUCGGAAUCACUGGGCGUAAAGCGUGUGUAGGCUGCGCGGAAAGUCAAAUGUGAAAGCCCGGGGCUCAACCUCGGAACUGCAUUCGAUACUCCCGUGCUAGAGUAAUGGAGAGGUAAGUGGAAUGCGUAGAUAUUAUGAAGAAUACCAGUGGCGAAGGCGGCCUCCUGGAUCUGUACUGACACUGAGGUGCGAAAGCGUGGGUAGCGAACAGGAUUAGAUA